AUGGUGGUUGGCAGGAACAAGCACCUUACAGAAGGUGGCAAAAAGAGCCAAGAAAAAAGUGGUUGAUCCAUUUUCUAAGAAAGAUUGGUAUGAUGUGAAGGCCCCUACUAUGUUCAAUAGAAUAUUGGAAAAACACUAGUCACUGGGACUCAAGAAACCAAUUGCAUCCUAUGGCCACAAAGGUUGUGUGUUUGAAAUGAGUCUUGCUGAUCUGCAGAAUGAUGAAGUUGCAUUUAGCAAAUUCAAGCUGAUUACUGAAGAUGUUCAGGGCAAAAACUGCCUGACUAACUUCCAUGGCAUGGAUCUUACCUGUGACAAAAUGUGUUCUAUGGUUAAAAAAUGGCAGACUAUGACUGAAGCUCAUGUUGAUGUUAAGACUACUGAUGGUUAUUUACUUCAUCUGUUCUGUGUUGGCAUUUCUAAAAAAACACAACAAGAAAGGUGCAGAUGAAUGACUUGGAAAAAGUUGUCAAUAAAUUGAUUCCAGACAGCAUUGGAAAAGACAUAGAAAAGGCUUGCCAAUCUAUUUAUCCUCUCCAUGAUGUCUUCAUUAGAAAAGUAAAAAUGCUGAAGAAACCCAAGUUUGAAUUGGGAAAACUCAUGGAGCUUCAUGGUGAAGCAGUAGUUCUGGAAAAGCUACUGGGGAUGAGACAGAUGCUAAAGUGGAAUGAGCUGAUUGAUAUGAACCACCAGUCCAAGUAUCUGUCUAAAAUUCAGGCUUUUAAUAAUGACAAAUAAAGAAUCCUAUUUGUGA
RNA transcript from Nycticebus coucang (slow loris), 754 nucleotides. It is a transcript of the gene named 40S ribosomal protein S3a-like, with no coding region annotated. The record is from RefSeq and is a predicted model, not a curated record. Lineage: Eukaryota; Metazoa; Chordata; Mammalia; Primates; Lorisidae. The transcript has a single exon.